GGGGGGCUGGCGCAACGGUAGCGCGGUACGUUGAACCGAUGACCCAAAGGUUGUCCGUUCGAAUCGGGCGCUCCUCA
This 77-nucleotide transfer RNA is filed under the name Ophiocordyceps sinensis CO18. RNAcentral's name for it is "tRNA-Ile (GAT) (tRNA-Ile-GAT-1-1)". It matches the Rfam family "tRNA". From Rfam's summary of the family: Transfer RNA (tRNA) molecules are approximately 80 nucleotides in length. Their secondary structure includes four short double-helical elements and three loops (D, anti-codon, and T loops). Further hydrogen bonds mediate the characteristic L-shaped molecular structure. tRNAs have two regions of fundamental functional importance: the anti-codon, which is responsible for specific mRNA codon recognition, and the 3' end, to which the tRNAs corresponding amino acid is attached (by aminoacyl-tRNA synthetases). tRNAs cope with the degeneracy of the genetic code in two manners: having more than one tRNA (with a specific anti-codon) for a particular amino acid; and 'wobble' base-pairing, i.e. permitting non-standard base-pairing at the 3rd anti-codon position. The record is from RNAcentral. Lineage: Eukaryota; Fungi; Ascomycota; Sordariomycetes; Hypocreales; Ophiocordycipitaceae.